RNAcentral lists this transfer RNA (45 nucleotides) under Lachnaea filicaulis. RNAcentral's name for it is "partial transfer RNA-Phe". The record is from RNAcentral. Lineage: Eukaryota; Viridiplantae; Streptophyta; Magnoliopsida; Malvales; Thymelaeaceae.
CGGGAUAGCUCAGCUGGUAAGCAGAGGACUGAAAAUCCUCGUGUC